This 475-nucleotide ribosomal RNA is filed under the name uncultured bacterium. RNAcentral describes it as "bacterial SSU rRNA". It matches the Rfam family "Bacterial small subunit ribosomal RNA", at positions 328 to 793 of the family's 1533-position model. The record is from RNAcentral.
ACUCCAGACUCCUACGGGAGGCAGCAGUGGGGAAUAUUGCACAAUGGGCGCAAGCCUGAUGCAGCCAUGCCGCGUGUAUGAAGAAGGCCUUCGGGUUGUAAAUUACUUUCAGCGGGGAGGAAGGGGUUAAGGUUAAUAACCUUAGCCAUUGACGUUACCCGCAGAAGAAGCACCGGCUAACUCCGUGCCAGCAGCCGCGGUAAUACGGAGGGUGCAAGCGUUAAUCGGAAUUACUGGGCGUAAAGCGCACGCAGGCGGUCUGUCAAGUCGGAUGUGAAAUCCCCGGGCUCAACCUGGGAACUGCAUUCGAAACUGGCAGGCUGGAGUCUUGUAGAGGGGGGUAGAAUUCCAGGUGUAGCGGUGAAAUGCGUAGAGAUCUGGAGGAAUACCGGUGGCGAAGGCGGCCCCCUGGACAAAGACUGACGCUCAGGUGCGAAAGCGUGGGGAGCAAACAGGAUUAGAUACCCCGGUAGAG